UACAUGGGGUGCAAACGUUGCUCGGAAUUAUUGGGCGUAAAGCGCACGUAGGUGGCCUGUUAUGUCAGAUGUGAAAGCCCUCGGCUUAACUGAGGAAGUGCACCUGAAACUGGCAGGCUUGAGUACGAAAGAGGGUCGCGGAAUUCCCGGUGUAGCGGUGAAAUGCGUAGAGAUCGGGAGGAAUACCGGUGGCGAAAGCGACUCUCUGGACGGCAACUGACGCUGAGGCACGAAAGCGUGGGGAGCAAACAGG
This 253-nucleotide ribosomal RNA is filed under the name uncultured bacterium. RNAcentral describes it as "partial 16S ribosomal RNA". It matches the Rfam family "Bacterial small subunit ribosomal RNA", at positions 524 to 776 of the family's 1533-position model. The record is from RNAcentral.